CCUACGGGUGGCAGCAGUGGGGAAUAUUGCACAAUGGGGGAAACCCUGAUGCAGCGACGCCGCGUGAGUGAAGAAGUACUUCGUUACGUAAAGCUCUAUCAGCAGGGAAGAAACACUGACCUUACGGUCAGCAGACGGUACCUGAGUAAGAAGCCGCGGCUAACUACGUGCCAGCAGCCGCGGUAAUACGUAGGGGGCAAGCGUUAUCCGGAUUUUCUGGGUGUAAAGGGAGCGUCGACGGGGCGCCAAGUCUGGAGCGAAAUGCGGCCGCUUAACUGCGGAACGGCUUUGGAAACUGGCGGUCUUGAGUGGCGGAGAGGCAGGCGGAAUUCCUAGUGUAGCGGUGAAAUGCGUAGAUAUUAGGAGGAACACCAGUGGCGAAGGCGGCCUGCUGGACGACAACUGACGGUGAGGCGCGAAAGCGUGGGGAGCAAACAGGAUUAGAUACCCCGGUAGUC
RNAcentral lists this ribosomal RNA (458 nucleotides) under uncultured bacterium. RNAcentral's name for it is "partial 16S ribosomal RNA". It matches the Rfam family "Bacterial small subunit ribosomal RNA", at positions 338 to 795 of the family's 1533-position model. The record is from RNAcentral.